RNAcentral lists this ribosomal RNA (490 nucleotides) under uncultured bacterium. Its description in RNAcentral is "partial 16S ribosomal RNA". It matches the Rfam family "Bacterial small subunit ribosomal RNA", at positions 30 to 507 of the family's 1533-position model. The record is from RNAcentral.
AUUGAACGCUGGCGGCAGGCCUAACACAUGCAAGUCGAAUGGUAACAGGAAACAGCUUGCUGUUUCGCUGACGAGUGGCGGACGGGUGAGUAAUGUCUGGGAAACUGCCUGAUGGAGGGGGAUAACUACUGGAAACGGUAGCUAAUACCGCAUAACGUCGCAAGCCCAAAGAGGGGGACCUUCGGGCCUCUUGCCAUCAGAUGUGCCCAGAUGGGAUUAGCUAGUAGGUGGGGUAACGGCUCACCUAGGCGACGAUCCCUAGCUGGUCUGAGAGGAUGACCAGCCACACUGGAACUGAGACACGGUCCAGACUCCUACGGGAGGCAGCAGUGGGGAAUAUUGCACAAUGGGCGCAAGCCUGAUGCAGCCAUGCCGCGUGUAUGAAGAAGGCCUUCGGGUUGUAAAGUACUGUCAGCGGGGAGGAAGGGAGUAAAGUUAAUACCUUUGCUCAUUGACGUUACCCGCAGAAGAAGCACCGGCUAACUCCGUG